Molecule: ribosomal RNA, 407 nt
Filed under: uncultured bacterium
Lineage: Bacteria
Description: partial 16S ribosomal RNA
Rfam family: Bacterial small subunit ribosomal RNA
Source: RNAcentral
AUUGAACGCUGGCGGCGUGCCUAAUACAUGCAAGUAGGACGCAGUUGCGAACGGGUGAGUAACGCGUAGGUAACUGCCUCUUAGAGGGGGAUCACUAUUGGAAACGAUCGCUAAUACCGCAUACUAGUAGAUGGACCUGCGUUGUAUUAGCUAGUAGGUAGGGUAAUGGCCUACCUAGGCGACGAUACAUAGCCGACCGGAGAGGGGGAUCGGCCACACUGGGACUGAGACACGGCCCAGACUCCUACGGGAGGCAGCAGUAGGGAAUCUUCGGCAAUGGGGGGAACCCUGACCGAGCAACGCCGCGUGAGUGAUGAAGGUUUUCGGAUCGUAAAGCUCUGUUGUUAAGGAAGCGGUACUUAACCAGAAAGGGACGGCUAACUACGUGCCAGCCGCCGCGGUAAUAC